This 171-nucleotide microRNA precursor is filed under the name Podarcis lilfordi (Lilford's wall lizard). Lineage: Eukaryota; Metazoa; Chordata; Lepidosauria; Squamata; Lacertidae. The record is from RNAcentral.
AAGAGCCGCUGAGUGGGGAGGAGAGAGGGACAGAGAGCCUGCUUGCUUUAAAGGAGCAAAGCAGGAGAGGAGAGGAGCCGCUUACACUCGUGUAAGCGGCUCCUGUCCGGUUGGCUCCUUUAAAGCAAGCAGGCUCUCUGUCCCUCUCUCCUCCCCACUCAGCUCGCUACA